Molecule: ribosomal RNA, 441 nt
Filed under: uncultured bacterium
Lineage: Bacteria
Description: partial 16S ribosomal RNA
Rfam family: Bacterial small subunit ribosomal RNA
Source: RNAcentral
GAUGAACGCUGGCGGCGUGCCUAAUACAUGCAAGUCGAACGGGGAGUAGCAAUACUCUUAGUGGCGAACGGGUGAGUAACGCGUUGGUACCUGCCCCGAAGCGGGGGAUAACGGACCGAAAGGUCCGCUAAUACCCCAUGUGCUCGGUAACGAGUAAAGGUGAAAACCACUUUGGGAGGGGCCUGCGUCCCAUCAGCUAGUUGGUAAGGUAACGGCUUACCAAGGCGAUGACGGGUAGGGGACCUGAGAGGGUGGCCCCCCACAAUGGAACUGAAACACGGUCCAUACACCUACGGGUGGCAGCAGUAGGGAAUAUUGGUAAUGGGCGCAAGCCUGAACCAGCAACGCCGCGUGUGCGAUGACGGCCUUCGGGUUGUAAAGCACUUUUGACUGGGACGAGGAAGGACGGUACCGGUCGAAUCAGCCUCGGCUAACUACGCG